This 492-nucleotide ribosomal RNA is filed under the name uncultured bacterium. Its description in RNAcentral is "partial 16S ribosomal RNA". It matches the Rfam family "Bacterial small subunit ribosomal RNA", at positions 29 to 507 of the family's 1533-position model. The record is from RNAcentral.
AGUGAACGCUGGCGGUAGGCCUAACACAUGCAAGUCGAACGGCAGCACAGUAAGAGCUUGCUCUUACGGGUGGCGAGUGGCGGACGGGUGAGGAAUACAUCGGAAUCUACUUUUUCGUGGGGGAUAACGUAGGUAAACUUACGCUAAUACCGCAUACGACCUACGGGUGAAAGCAGGGGAUCUUCGGACCUUGCGCGAUUGAAUGAGCCGAUGUCGGAUUAGCUAGUUGGCGGGGUAAAGGCCCACCAAGGCGACGAUCCGUAGAUGGUCUGAGAGGCUGAUCAGCCACACUGGAACUGGUACACGGUCCAGACUCCUACGGGAGGCAGCAGUCGGGAAUAUUGGACAAUGGGCGCAAGCCUGAUCCAGCCAUACCGCGUGGGUGAAGAAGGCCUUCGGGUUGUAAAGCCCUUUUGUUGGGAAAGAAAAGCAGCAGGUUAAUACCCCGCUGUUCUGACGGUACCCAAAGAAUAAGCACCGGCUAACUUCGUG